Molecule: ribosomal RNA, 530 nt
Filed under: Fusarium proliferatum
Lineage: Eukaryota; Fungi; Ascomycota; Sordariomycetes; Hypocreales; Nectriaceae
Description: SSU rRNA
Rfam family: Bacterial small subunit ribosomal RNA
Source: RNAcentral
CCGUCCCAUAUGAAAAGAUUAUAUUAGAAUUGAAUGAAGCUUCUGUUUAUAUAUUGAUAAUGACAGUAUAUAUAUCGUGUCUUGACUAAUUGCGUGCCAGCAGUCGCGGUAAUACGUAAGAGACUAGUGUUAUUCAUCUUAAUUAGGUUUAAAGGGUACCCAGACGGUCAAUAUAGCUUAUAUAAAUGUUAGUACUUGACUAGAGUUUUAUGUAAGAGGGCAGUACUUGAGGAGGAGAGAUGAAAUUUCGUGAUACCAAAGGGACUCUGUAAAGGCGAAGGCAGCCCUCUAUGUAAAAACUGACGUUGAAGGACGAAGGCACUAGAGAACAAACAGGAUUAGAUACCCAAGUAGUCUUUGCAGUAAAUGAUGAAUGCCAUAGGUUAGAUGGGUGGGCUCGUCUAGUUGAGUUAGUUUAGCAAACUAAUGAUCUAGACGAGCCCACCGUAUAUUUGGUCUAUAAAUGAAAGUGUAAGCAUUUCACCUCAAGAGUAAUGUGGCAACGCAGGAACUGAAAUCACUAGCACCGU